AUGGCGCCCCAGGCCCCGGUCGUCGAGAUCAUCGACGACGACGACGACGACGGUGUCGGCGUGGCCGCCUCCCCUCCCGCGCUCCUCUCAGGCAGGCGCUCCCGCGCCACUCCCCCGCCCGCGGCAGCCGACGACUCUCCGGACUUCCUCGGGGCCUUCUCCCCCUCCCCGCCGGCCCCGAAGCGGCGCGCCACUCCCUCGACCGCGGCGGCCCUCGACUCUCCGGACUGGCUCGGGGCCUUCUCCCCCUCCCCGCCCGCCCCGAAGAGGCGCGCCACUCCCUCGCCCGCGGCGGCCCUCGACUCUCUCGACUUCCUCGAUGCCUUCACCCGGUCCCCGCCCGUCCCGAAGCGGCGCGCGCCCGCGUCCGCGACCCCGAUCGUCCUCGACGACGACACCCCUCCCCCGCCAAGGCGGCGCCCAUCCCCGACGCCCAUCCUCCUCCUCGACGACACGCCUCCCUCGCCGUUCGCUCCGGAGAUCCCGGACAUUGCUGUUGCGGCGACACCGCCAGCGUACGCCACCCCGCGCUCGACUGGGUCCUCCAGCGUCCCAGGCUCCUCUUCGACUGGCCGCGCGCAUGAAUCGUCUGGAGCUUCUUGUCCAAUAUCUCUGGACAGUGAUGAUGAGUUGGAUGACUUUGGGUCGACCACAGAGCCAUUGGUCAAGUUGAUUUUACCCUGUGGAAAUUCUUCUCCGCAAGAACAGGAUGACGACAACAUGGAAGAGAAUGCUCCACCGAUCAAAGAAAGAAAGGGACAGAAGAGAUUAAAUAAAGAAGAGAAAGAUAAAAUGAUUGAAGAGAAGAAACGACAGCGAGAGGUUUGGCUUGAAAAAAGGUUGCAGAAAGAAGCUAAUAAAAUUCAACAAGCAGAGAAAAAGAAGUCGGCCAAAGAAAAAGCAGAAUGGGCUUCAGGCAAACGUGCUUUAGAAUCCAUUGUCGCCAAGAUCGACUCAAAGGUCAUAGAAACUGGCUCAAUCGGAGGUGCUCUCCUGACAAUGUUUUCAGAAAAGAAACUUUCCUAUCAAGUUGAGCGUAAUCCAAUGAGGGGAUCAAUUUUGUGGAAGAUGGUUUCUCCAAAUGAUCAGGAGCCAGCUUUGGAGCCAUAUAUCCUAUUUGUGCUCCAAGCUGAGGAAUUCUGUGAUCUUAUAAGCAGUGGAAAGUUCUUGGAUCAUGUUCUCAAAGCUCGAAGUCUCUAUCCAACUUUCACUAUUUGCUAUGUCACUCAUAAAUUGAUGAAAUACAUAUAUGAUAGAGAGCAAAGCCAGUAUAAGAAUUCCGACAGUUCUAAUAGAUGGAAACGUCCACCUGUGGAAGGUUUUGUGCAAAUUAGUAACACACUACGAUAG
This 1350-nucleotide ribosomal RNA is filed under the name Triticum aestivum (bread wheat). RNAcentral's name for it is "partial small subunit ribosomal RNA". Lineage: Eukaryota; Viridiplantae; Streptophyta; Magnoliopsida; Poales; Poaceae. The record is from RNAcentral.